GGUGCCCGAAAGGGAGCGGUAACACAGGUGCUGCAUGGCUGUCGUCAGCUCGUGUCGUGAGAUGUUGGGUUAAGUCCCGCAACGAGCGCAACCCUUGUCAUUAGUUGCCAGCAUUAAGUUGGGCACUCUAAUGAGACUGCCGGUGACAAGCCGGAGGAAGGUGGGGAUGACGUCAAGUCCUCAUGGCCCUUAUGACCAGGGCUUCACACGUCAUACAAUGGUCGGUACAGAGGGUCGCUAAGCCGCGAGGUAGUGCCAAUCUCAUAAAACCGAUCGUAGUCCGGAUCGCAGUCUGCAA
RNAcentral lists this ribosomal RNA (298 nucleotides) under Laribacter hongkongensis. RNAcentral describes it as "partial 16S ribosomal RNA". It matches the Rfam family "Bacterial small subunit ribosomal RNA", at positions 1012 to 1310 of the family's 1533-position model. Lineage: Bacteria; Pseudomonadati; Pseudomonadota; Betaproteobacteria; Neisseriales; Aquaspirillaceae. The record is from RNAcentral.